CGCAGCCGCGGUAAUUCCAGCUCCAAUAGCGUAUAUUAAAGUUGCUGCAGUUAAAAAGCUCGUAGUUGAAUUUCGGGACUAAUAUGUCGGUCGUGCCUCGGUACGUACUGGUAUUUUGGUUCUCCCUUCUGACGAACCUUGAUGUCAUUAAUUUGGUGUCUUGGGGAAUCAGGACCCGUUACUUUGAAAAAAUUAGAGUGUUUAAAGCAGGCUCACGCUUGAAUACAUUAGCAUGGAAUAAUGGAAUAGGACGUUUGAUUCUAUUUUGUUGGUUUCUAGGAUUGACGUAAUGAUUAAUAGGGAUAGUUGGGGGCAUUAGUAUUCAAUUGUCAGAGGUGAAAUUCUUGGAUUUAUUGAAGACUAACUACUGUGAAAGCAUUUGCCAAGGAUGUUUUCAUUAAUCAAGAACGAAAGUUAGGGAU
RNAcentral lists this ribosomal RNA (422 nucleotides) under uncultured Glomus. Its description in RNAcentral is "SSU rRNA". It matches the Rfam family "Eukaryotic small subunit ribosomal RNA", at positions 569 to 997 of the family's 1831-position model. Lineage: Eukaryota; Fungi; Glomeromycota; Glomeromycetes; Glomerales; Glomeraceae. The record is from RNAcentral.